GGAAGAAAAGGCACGGGUGAAUAGCCUGGGUUCUUGACGGUACCGGCGGAAUAAGCACCGGCUAACUACGUGCCAGCAGCCGCGGUAAUACGUAGGGUGCGAGCGUUAAUCGGAAUUACUGGGCGUAAAGCGUGCGCAGGCGGUUCGCUGUGUCCUGUGUGAAAGCCCCGGGCUCAACCUGGGAAUGGCAUGGGAAACUGGCGAGCUGGAGUGUGGCAGAGGGGGGUGGAAUUCCGCGUGUAGCAGUGAAAUGCGUAGAGAUGCGGAGGAACACCGAUGGCGAAGGCAGCCCCCUGGGCCAACACUGACGCUCAGGCACGAAAGCGUGGGGAGCAAACAGGAUUAGAUACCCUGGUAGUCCACGCCCUAAACGAUGUCGACUAGGUGUUGGGGAAGCGAUUCCUUGGUACCGAAGCUAACGCGUGAAGUCGACCGCCUGGGGAGUACGGCCGCAAGGUUAAAACUCAAAGGAAUUGACGGGGACCCGCACAAGCGGUGGAUGAUGUGGAUUAAUUCGAUGCAACGCGAACAACCUUACCUACCCUUGACAUGUCCGGAAGCCUGCUAAAAGGCGGGGGUGCCCGAAAGGGAACCGGAACACAGGUGCUGCAUGGCUGUCG
This 620-nucleotide ribosomal RNA is filed under the name uncultured bacterium. Its description in RNAcentral is "bacterial SSU rRNA". It matches the Rfam family "Bacterial small subunit ribosomal RNA", at positions 443 to 1054 of the family's 1533-position model. The record is from RNAcentral.